GCAAACUUUCUCUUUCUCUUAGGCCUUAACUCUAAAACUCAGAGACAGAGACGUUGAGCCUUCCUGCACAUGUGGAAAGGUUGUUAGAAGCCUCGGCCUGCAACAUUUUUUUGUUUGUUUGCUUAUUAAUGGAUCCAGUGGAAAUGAACAAGACCAUUUCACAAGACUAAGCUGUACCAAGAUGCAGAAAUAAUCAGGGCAGGGCAGCAGAGGACUGAGCCUUGUGCCCAAGAACACCAGUUGGUCAGCAGAACUCGGAGAGGUAGAUCAGCAUCCUGACUCUCCCACGUGGGGCCACAUUUCCUAUCUCGCUUGUCUUCAUUUGUCGUCUGACCAUCACACUUCUGCAGUUUUCAUAGGCAGCCAUGGUGGGGGUCAUUAUAAUAGAUGAAGAAAGUACUAGAAAGCAAGGAGCUGAAAAAGAGAGAUAUCUUGAGAGAGCAGACACACAUUGCCAUAGGAGGAGACCUUGAGUUUACCCUGUCCAGGGCACUUCCUGGGGAGUGACCCCCCUCACACUGGCUAGAGGAGCAUUGGCCCCUCUGCAGGCAUAUCUCUCCUUAGGGGCCUGGCAUCGUCCAUUCAUAAGUAUCUCAUCAAUUCACUUUUUU
Long non-coding RNA from Mustela erminea (ermine), 611 nucleotides. RefSeq lists it as uncharacterized. The transcript has 6 exons. NCBI's taxonomy places the organism in Eukaryota, Metazoa, Chordata, Mammalia, Carnivora, Mustelidae. The record is from RefSeq and is a predicted model, not a curated record.